RNAcentral lists this long non-coding RNA (459 nucleotides) under Aedes aegypti (yellow fever mosquito). RNAcentral's name for it is "lncRNA AAEL023220". The record is from RNAcentral. Lineage: Eukaryota; Metazoa; Arthropoda; Insecta; Diptera; Culicidae.
CACCUAUUUUUCGGCUCCUUUGCUUUCAGCCAUCUGUCAAACUCUUGUUUUGAUUUCGUUUCUGCGCCGUAAAGUUCGGAGCGGCAUCUCGGCAGUGAUUAGGUUUUAGGUUCCUGCUCAAAAAUCUUACCGUUUAUUCCAGCUCAUCAGAUGGAGGCAAACGAAGAAAUGAUAGACGACUGCGAGGCGAGUUUUUCUGGUCAGUUGCGGGGUUCAAAUGGUCCCACGCUUGGUGCACAAAUGGAUGAGUCACUCGAUCUCUGUGUCCAUCGCCAUUCAGAUGCUAGUUCUCUGGUUGUGCUACGUGACUGCACCAACGCUAUGAGGGAAGACCAGCUUGAUGAAUUCUUUGUUUCUCCGCCAACUCCAAAGCGCAACCCAACGCAUCGAAAUUAUGUCAAUCGCACACAUAUCGUCUUGACGGCUGCCGAAAGGCUGGAAGAAAUGCGGCUUCUUGAA